Molecule: ribosomal RNA, 548 nt
Filed under: uncultured bacterium
Lineage: Bacteria
Description: bacterial SSU rRNA
Rfam family: Bacterial small subunit ribosomal RNA
Source: RNAcentral
UGGAGACAUCCUUCAUAGCUAUAGAGAAGACAGGUGGUGCAUGGUUUUCGUCAGUCGUGUCGUGAGAUGUUGGGUUAAGUCCCGCAACGAGCGCAACCCCUGUCGCCAGUUACCAUCAUUGAGUUGGGGACUCUGGCGAGACUGCCUCUGCAAGGAGGAGGAAGGCGGGGAUGACGUCAAAUCAUCAUGCCCCUUAUGACCUGGGCCACACACGUGCUACAAUGGACGGGACAGAGGGAAGCGAAGGCGCGAGCCGGAGCGGACCCCAGAAACCCGUUCCCAGUUCGGACUGCAGUCUGCAACUCGACUGCACGAAGCCGGAAUCGCUAGUAAUCGCGGAUCAGCAUGCCGCGGUGAAUACGUUCUCGGGCCUUGUACACACCGCCCGUCACACCAUGAGAGUUGGCAACACCCGAAGCCGGCGGUCCCAACCCGACAAGGGAGGGAGCUGUACUAAGGUGGGGCUGAUGAUUGGGGUGAAGUACGUAACAAGGUACCCUCUCUUGCUGUUGGCGGCCGCCUGUGGUCGCCUAUGGGAGAGUCAACGG